This 621-nucleotide ribosomal RNA is filed under the name Ferruginibacter sp. Se3Pw_3527. Its description in RNAcentral is "bacterial SSU rRNA". It matches the Rfam family "Bacterial small subunit ribosomal RNA", at positions 398 to 1018 of the family's 1533-position model. Lineage: Bacteria; Pseudomonadati; Bacteroidota; Chitinophagia; Chitinophagales; Chitinophagaceae. The record is from RNAcentral.
CGCGUGAAGGAUGAAGGCCCUCUGGGUUGUAAACUUCUUUUAUCUGGGACGAAAAAAGGGUAUUCUUACUCACUUGACGGUACCAGAGGAAUAAGCACCGGCUAACUCCGUGCCAGCAGCCGCGGUAAUACGGAGGGUGCAAGCGUUAUCCGGAUUCACUGGGUUUAAAGGGAGCGUAGGUGGGCUGAUAAGUCAGUGGUGAAAUCUCCGGGCUUAACCCGGAAACUGCCAUUGAUACUAUCAGUCUUGAAUUAUCUGGAGGUAAGCGGAAUAUGUCAUGUAGCGGUGAAAUGCUUAGAUAUGACAUACAACACCAAUUGCGAAGGCAGCUUGCUACGGAUUGAUUGACACUGAGGCUCGAAAGCAUGGGGAUCAAACAGGAUUAGAUACCCUGGUAGGCCACGCCCUACACGAUGGAUACUCGACAUCAUCGAUACACUGUUGGUGUCUGAGCGAAAGCAUUAAGUAUCCCACCUGGGAAGUACGACCGCAAGGUUGAAACUCAAAGGAAUUGACAGGGGUCCGCACAACCGGUGGAGCAUGUGGUUUAAUUCUAUGAUACACGAGGAACCUUACCUGGGCUAGAAUGCAUUUUGACCGUGGGUGAAAGCUCACUUUAUA